UACGAAGGGUGCAAGCGUUGUUCGGAAUUACUGGGCGUAAAGAGCGCGUAGGCGGUCUAUUAAGUCAGGCGUGAAAGUCCCGGGCUCAACCUGGGAAUUGCGUUUGAUACUGGUAGGCUUGAGAUUCAGAGAGGUGAGUGGAAUUCCCAGUGUAGCAGUGAAAUGCGUAGAUAUUAGGAGGAACAUCAGUGGCGAAGGCGGCUCACUGGCUGAAUACUGACGCUAAGGCGCGAAAGCGUGGGGAGCAAACAGGG
RNAcentral lists this ribosomal RNA (254 nucleotides) under uncultured bacterium. RNAcentral's name for it is "partial 16S ribosomal RNA". It matches the Rfam family "Bacterial small subunit ribosomal RNA", at positions 524 to 777 of the family's 1533-position model. The record is from RNAcentral.